GGUACACGCUGUGACUAGCAUAUCAAUAAGCGGAGGAAAAGAAACUAACAAGGAUUCCCCUAGUAACGGCGAGUGAAGCGGGAAGAGCUCAAAUUUGAAAUCUUAAAGGGUUUCCCUUUACGAAUUGUAGUUUAAAGAAGUGUUUUCUGUUGAGGUUUUGGUAAAAGUUCUUUGGAAUAGGACAUCAUAGAGGGUGAGAAUCCCGUAUUUGACCUUUACUUUCAACUUUGUGAUACACUUUCAAAGAGUCGGAUUGUUUGGGAAUGCAGUCCAAAAUGGGUGGUAAAUUUCAUCUAAAGCUAAAUAUUGGCGAGAGACCGAUAGCGAACAAGUACCGUGAGGGAAAGAUGAAAAGAACUUUGAAAAGAGAGUUAAACAGUACGUGAAAUUGUCAAAAGGGAAGCGUUUGACACCAGUGUUGUUUUUCUGAAGAUCAAUUAAAGAACUGUUUAUGCUAAGCUGUUUAGACUUUAUCAGCUAACUGUUUAGUUUUGAGCUUUUCUUUAAUGCACUUUUCAGUUAACAAGUCAACAUCAAUUUCUUUUGCUGUAAAAAAGCUUGAGGGAAGGUGGCUUGAGAUUCGUCUUAAGUGUUUAUAGCCUCUUGCCUAUGCAGUCGGAGAGAUUGAGGUCUGCAGCGUAGAUCCUUCGGGGCUAAAUGCAUUUGUGCUAAGUUAUAGCAUUUUAUAGACAACUUGUUGACUAUGAUUUGUCUUGUAGCUUACUCGCUUAUGUUAUUUUACCUACGCUUAGGAUGUUGACGCGCGUGUGUGCGUG
RNAcentral lists this ribosomal RNA (776 nucleotides) under uncultured Neocallimastigales. RNAcentral's name for it is "partial large subunit ribosomal RNA". It matches the Rfam family "Eukaryotic large subunit ribosomal RNA", at positions 22 to 639 of the family's 3401-position model. Lineage: Eukaryota; Fungi; Neocallimastigomycota; Neocallimastigomycetes; Neocallimastigales. The record is from RNAcentral.